This is a small nuclear RNA of Loxodonta africana (African savanna elephant), 96 nucleotides long. Lineage: Eukaryota; Metazoa; Chordata; Mammalia; Proboscidea; Elephantidae. The record is from Ensembl.
ACUCAAAGGAGUACUUGCUUCAGACCAAUACAGAGGAGAUUAGCGUGGUCCCUGCGCAAGGAUGACACGCAAAUUCGUGAAGCGUUCCAUAUUUUU